CCGGACAGAUGGGAGCUUGCUCCCUGAUGUUAGCGGCGGACGGGUGAGUAACACGUGGGUAACCUGCCUGUAAGACUGGGAUAACUCCGGGAAACCGGGGCUAAUACCGGAUGCUUGAUUGAACCGCAUGGUUCAAUUAUAAAAGGUGGCUUUUAGCUACCACUUACAGAUGGACCCGCGGCGCAUUAGCUAGUUGGUGAGGUAACGGCUCACCAAGGCAACGAUGCGUAGCCGACCUGAGAGGGUGAUCGGCCACACUGGGACUGAGACACGGCCCAGACUCCUACGGGAGGCAGCAGUAGGGAAUCUUCCGCAAUGGACGAAAGUCUGACGGAGCAACGCCGCGUGAGUGAUGAAGGUUUUCGGAUCGUAAAACUCUGUUGUUAGGGAAGAACAAGUACCGUUCGAAUAGGGCGGUACCUUGACGGUACCUAACCAGAAAGCCACGGCUAACUACGUGCCAGCAGCCGCGGUAAUACGUAGGUGGCAAGCGUUGUCCGGAAUUAUUGGGCGUAAAGCGCGCGCAGGCGGUUUCUUAAGUCUGAUGUGAAAGCCCCCGGCUCAACCGGGGAGGGUCAUUGGAAACUGGGGAACUUGAGUGCAGAAGAGGAGAGUGGAAUUCCACGUGUAGCGGUGAAAUGCGUAGAGAUGUGGAGGAACACCAGUGGCGAAGGCGACUCUCUGGUCUGUAACUGACGCUGAGGCGCGAAAGCGUGGGGAGCGAACAGGAUUAGAUACCUGAUGUAGUCCC
Molecule: ribosomal RNA, 751 nt
Filed under: Bacillus licheniformis
Lineage: Bacteria; Bacillati; Bacillota; Bacilli; Caryophanales; Bacillaceae
Description: bacterial SSU rRNA
Rfam family: Bacterial small subunit ribosomal RNA
Source: RNAcentral